GGGUGAGUAACGCGUGGGAAUCUGCCCUCAGGAGGGGGAUAACGGUUGGAAACGGCCGCUAAUACCCCAUAUGCCGAGAGGUGAAAUGAAUUUCGCCUGAGGAUGAGCCCGCGUCUGAUUAGCUAGUUGGUGAGGUAAGAGCUCACCAAGGCAUCGAUCAGUAGCUGGUCUGAGAGGAUGAUCAGCCACACUGGGACUGAGACACGGCCCAGACUCCUACGGGAGGCAGCAGUGGGGAAUUUUCCGCAAUGGGCGAAAGCCUGACGGAGCAACGCCGCGUGAGGGAUGAAGGCCUCUGGGCUGUAAACCUCUUUUAUCAAGGAAGAAGAUCUGACGGUACUUGAUGAAUAAGCCACGGCUAAUUCCGUGCCAGCAGCCGCGGUAAUACGGGAGUGGCAAGCGUUAUCCGGAAUUAUUGGGCGUAAAGCGUCCGCAGGCGGCCCAACAAGUCUGCUGUUAAAAAGUGGAGCUUAACUCCAUCAUGGCAGUGGAAACUGUUGGGCUCGAGUGUGGUAGGGGCAGAGGGAAUUCCCGGUGUAGCGGUGAAAUGCGUAGAUAUCGGGAAGAACACCAGUGGCGAAGGCGCUCUGCUGGGCCAUCACUGACGCUCAUGGACGAAAGCCAGGGGAGCGAAAGGGAUUAGAUACCCCUGUAGUCCUGGCCGUAAACGAUGAACACUAGGUGUCGGGGGAAUCGACCCCUCCGGUGUCGUAGCCAACGCGUUAAGUGUUCCGCCUGGGGAGUACGCACGCAAGUGUGAAACUCAAAGGAAUUGACGGGGGCCCGCACAAGCGGUGGAGUAUGUGGUUUAAUUCGAUGCAACGCGAAGAACCUUACCAGGGUUUGACAUCCUGCGAAUCUCUUGGAAACUUGAGAGUGCCUUCGGGAGCGCAGUGACAGGUGGUGCAUGGCUGUCGUCAGCUCGUGUCAUGAGAUGUUGGGUUAAGUCCCGCAACGAGCGCAACCCACGUCUUUAGUUGCCAGCAUUUAGUUGGGCACUCUAGAGAGACCGCCGGUGAUAAACCGGAGGAAGGUGUGGAUGACGUCAAGUCAUCAUGCCCCUUACAUCCUGGGCUA
Molecule: ribosomal RNA, 1077 nt
Filed under: uncultured marine bacterium
Lineage: Bacteria
Description: bacterial SSU rRNA
Rfam family: Bacterial small subunit ribosomal RNA
Source: RNAcentral